GAUGAACGCUGGCGGCGUGCCUAAUACAUGCAAGUCGAGCGAACAGACGAGGAGCUUGCUCCUCUGACGUUAGCGGCGGACGGGUGAGUAACACGUGGAUAACCUACCUAUAAGACUGGGAUAACUUCGGGAAACCGGAGCUAAUACCGGAUAAUAUCUUGAACCGCAUGGUUCAAUAGUGAAAGACGGUUUUGCUGUCACUUAUCGAUGGAUCCGCGCCGCAUUAGCUAGUUGGUAAGGUAACGGCUUACCAAGGCAACGAUGCGUAGCCGACCUGAGAGGGUGAUCGGCCACACUGGAGCUGAGACACGGUCCAGACUCCUACGGGAGGCAGCAGUAGGGAAUCUUCCGCAAUGGGCGAAAGCCUGACGGAGCAACGCCGCGUGAGUGAUGAAGGUCUUCGGAUCGUAAAACUCUGUUAUUAGGGAAGAACAAAUGUGUAAGUAACUAUGCACGUCUUGACGGUACCUAAUCAGAAAGCCACGGCUAACUACGUG
RNAcentral lists this ribosomal RNA (497 nucleotides) under uncultured bacterium. RNAcentral describes it as "partial 16S ribosomal RNA". It matches the Rfam family "Bacterial small subunit ribosomal RNA", at positions 28 to 507 of the family's 1533-position model. The record is from RNAcentral.